CGACAUUCCAUCCAUCAAAAGUUAUCUUAGUUGUCUCCCUUAGACCAUUCGAUGAACAUAGGACAAGAAUGCAGUUUAAGGACAAUCAGGUUUUUAACCAAUAACUUGAAAUGCACUGAUAGCUUUGUCCACCUACCUGCGCUAUCCAUCGACAAACCUUUCUCACAUUGUAGGCAACGACAGUUGGCCACAGGAUCUGAGGAUCAAUGAAAAUAGUGUCACUGGUGAUGUAAAGGGAAUCAUACCGAGCUUAAGGAGAGAUUAGUUUUAAGAUGGAAACGAGCAGACAACACUGAAUUCUAAAGGUCACAAGGGGCACUUUCUGGCAGCUUGCGGUUCAGGGAUGUCCGGCAUGAACCUUAAUCAAAGCCUAUAGACCCAGAAGUUAAAAGCUGUAUUUAGCUGCUUGCACUGCUUUGGAGAGAAAACUAACUUAUUGAAGACAACACAGGCUCCAGUUCCGAAGAUCACAGGGGGUGCUCUCUAGCAGCAUGUGGUCAUGGUUUGUCCGACAUGAAUCAGAAGCAUAGACCUUGCGGUCAAGGAUAACCCAUGAAAGUGCAAGCACUUAUUUCCAAUGGGGUCCUUUGUUUUUGCUGAAGGGACAGCACGCUGAAGAGACAGUGGUGGGAUACAAGGAAGUCCGG
Long non-coding RNA from Mya arenaria, 647 nucleotides. RefSeq lists it as uncharacterized. The transcript is spliced from 7 exons. The record is from RefSeq and is a predicted model, not a curated record. Lineage: Eukaryota; Metazoa; Mollusca; Bivalvia; Myida; Myidae.